RNAcentral lists this ribosomal RNA (323 nucleotides) under uncultured bacterium. RNAcentral describes it as "bacterial SSU rRNA". It matches the Rfam family "Bacterial small subunit ribosomal RNA", at positions 28 to 332 of the family's 1533-position model. The record is from RNAcentral.
GACGAACGCUGGCGGCGUGCUUAACACAUGCAAGUCGAACGAGACGAUUUAGAAGCUUGCUUUUAUUGAGUCGAGUGGCAAACGGGUGAGUAACGCGUAGACAACCUGCCGCAAAGAUGGGGACAACAGUCCGAAAGGACUGCUAAUACCGAAUGUUGUAUCUCCUCCGCAUGGAAGAGAUAUUAAAGAUGGCCUCUACUUGUAAGCUAUCGCUUUGCGAUGGGUCUGCGUCUGAUUAGCUAGUUGGUGGGCAACGGCCUACCAAGGCGACGAUCAGUAGCCGGUCUGAGAGAUGAACGCACAUUGGAACUGAGACACGGUCC